Long non-coding RNA from Chinchilla lanigera (long-tailed chinchilla), 488 nucleotides. RefSeq lists it as uncharacterized. The record is from RefSeq and is a predicted model, not a curated record. The transcript has 3 exons. Lineage: Eukaryota; Metazoa; Chordata; Mammalia; Rodentia; Chinchillidae.
CGAGAUCUGGACGGCAUGAAAAGGAACAGCCAUCCUGGAAAGCUGCUAUGCUGGGAUGGGAUUGAAAUUAUCAACCACAGAAAAGUACGUGCCCUCGACUCAUGUCUGUUCAUGGAGCUCUUUGAGGUGAUGGACAUAGAACAUGCAUGUUUUGGUCACAGAAGUGAGAUGGCUUUCUAAAGAGACCUCUGAACUGGGCCGGAAUGGAUCUACAACUCCCUUGUGAAUAAGCCAAGCGAAUCAAAUUUGUCCAUGCCAGAAGAGGAUCAACUGCUUGAAAUUACCAAUGUGGGUGGCCUUAAAACCACGUUUGAGACGCCUUCAAAUCUCCAUAUGUUCUGAAUUAAAGUCAAGGCAGAAUUGAGAUUGCCUCGAAAGCACUGAAAAAUCUUGCUUCAGCUUUAGUGACUGAGCCACUGCCAAGAACUCAGCAGCUUCCCCGUUGGGGCCCUUCACUUCCUGACACUCUGUCCCCCGUCCUUCUUCUC